Molecule: ribosomal RNA, 490 nt
Filed under: uncultured bacterium
Lineage: Bacteria
Description: partial 16S ribosomal RNA
Rfam family: Bacterial small subunit ribosomal RNA
Source: RNAcentral
AUUGAACGCUGGCGGCAGGCCUAACACAUGCAAGUCGAACGGUAACAGGAAGAAGCUUGCUUCUUUGCUGACGAGUGGCGGACGGGUGAGUAAUGUCUGGGAAACUGCCUGAUGGAGGGGGAUAACUACUGGAAACGGUAGCUAAUACCGCAUAACGUCGCAAGACCAAAGAGGGGGACCUUCGGGCCUCUUGCCAUCGGAUGUGCCCAGAUGGGAUUAGCUAGUAGGUGGGGUAACGGCUCACCUAGGCGACGAUCCCUAGCUGGUCUGAGAGGAUGACCAGCCACACUGGAACUGAGACACGGUCCACACUCCUACGGGAGGCAGCAGUGGGGAAUAUUGCACAAUGGGCGCAAGCCUGAUGCAGCCAUGCCGCGUGUAUGAAGAAGGCCUUCGGGUUGUAAAGUACUUUCAGCGGGGAGGAAGGGAGUAAAGUUAAUACCUUGGCUCAUUGACGUUACCCGCAGAAGAAGCACCGGCUAACUCCGUG